Molecule: non-coding RNA, 225 nt
Organism: Equus caballus (horse)
Lineage: Eukaryota; Metazoa; Chordata; Mammalia; Perissodactyla; Equidae
Source: Rfam
GCUUAGGAAGACACUCUGAAGAAUAGGGGAGAAGAUUUUUUGCUUAAAACGUUAAAAACAACAAAAGACAAGUCAAGACGUUUUAUGGCAACAGACUAAACACAUAGUUAUUUUCUAAGGAAAACACAUUGUGUUCAAUGUCUUUGUACUUCCUCCUUGAAUUAUAUUGCUUGCAAAGAACAAGGUUUGAAAGGACUAAUCAAACACCAUCAAAACUAAUACUAG